AGCGAACGCUGGCGGCAGGCUUAACACAUGAAAGUCGAACGGUCCUUCGGGAUAGCGGCGGACGGGUGAGUAACACGUGGGAACGUACCCCUAGGUUCGGAACAACACAGGGGAACUUGUGCAGAGACCGGAUAAGCCAUUCGGGGGAAAGAUUUAUCGCCUUUGUAGCGGCCCGCGUCUGAUUAGCUUGUUGGUGAGGUAAUGGCCCACCAAGGCUACGAUCAGUAGCUGGUCUGAGAGGAUGGCCAGCCACACUGGGACUGAGACACGGCCCAGACUCCUACGUGAUGCAGCAGUGGGGAAUCUUGCGCAAUGGGCGAAAGCCUGACGCAGCCAUGCCGCGUGGAUGAUGAAGGUCUUAGGAUUGUAAAAUCCUUUCACCGGGGACGAUAAUGACGGUACCCGGAGAAGAAGCCCCGGCUAACUUCGUGCCAGCCGCCGCAGUAA
RNAcentral lists this ribosomal RNA (447 nucleotides) under uncultured bacterium. Its description in RNAcentral is "partial 16S ribosomal RNA". It matches the Rfam family "Bacterial small subunit ribosomal RNA", at positions 29 to 523 of the family's 1533-position model. The record is from RNAcentral.